GAUACCAGGGUCAAAAGGUCAUGCGUUUCAUGCUUGCAUGAAAAAGCAUGACAUUGGGACCCGCCAAAACAUGAGAAAGGAGCCCGAACAGGGCGGAUUUCGAAUGUUUUGAGGAUUUCGGGAGCACGGAGUGCGGAGAAAUCCGGGGUAUC
This 152-nucleotide small RNA is filed under the name human gut metagenome. RNAcentral's name for it is "Clostridiales-1 RNA". It matches the Rfam family "Clostridiales-1 RNA". RNAcentral also lists the same sequence under 1 other name. The record is from RNAcentral.